RNAcentral lists this long non-coding RNA (1404 nucleotides) under Varroa destructor (honeybee mite). RNAcentral describes it as "uncharacterized LOC111245336, transcript variant X1". Lineage: Eukaryota; Metazoa; Arthropoda; Arachnida; Mesostigmata; Varroidae. The record is from RNAcentral.
UUAAGAUGAACGUCUACUCCACUGUAGGCUACGGAAAUUUUGAAGAGAACGAUCUUGAACUCUGAAGCUUUCCGAACACGUUGGGUGCUGAUCAGGCGCGGAAAAUGCAGUCGUAUCAAAAGCAGGACAAAUCGUUGUUGGAUUUACGCGAGUAAAUGAAAAUACGUUCAAGAUCAACAGCUGAAAUUAGCUUGUCCCAUCUAAACGUAUCAAGUUUGGCAUGAACUAUUACUAUCCGCUGGGCAUCUUUUAAGUCAAAAAAAGGCCGUCAGUUGACUGUAGGAGUUCCACAUGUCUAGAAGAAGCCUACAAAGGUGCUUUCGAUGUAGAACAGAGGUGCCUGCUAAAUUUGACCGCUACCUACGAUCAGCCUACGAGUUACAUUUUUCUCUAUUAUCAAUGAUGUCGUCGCUCUGGUAGUUGGACAGCCGGUCAGCGAGCUGUUCUAUGGCUGACGUAGCCUGCCUAGCACAGUCCAUGGUGGCAAAGGAAUAGAAGCUAUUCAUUCGUCAGAGGAGGAAGCAUGAAGCACAAGAAAGCACAUUCUUGGGACACAAGAAUAAGCGCGCAUGAAGGAUCAGAGAGGGUGUCUCCGAUUUGGUAAAUAUUUUAUCAGUUUUCACCUCCUUCCUGACCACAGCCGCAAAUGCCCUAUGUUCGAACAAGGGGCAUGUUGGGAAGGAGGCACGGUGCCCCAUCUACCUACGGAAGCGCUGGCUUUGCUGGGAGUCUCCCUGCUGAGGUGCACUACGAGAUAGCCGGAUUAGGCAAAGGCAGACUCAUCUUUACCAGUGGCUGUCUCGGCUCGCUUAUAAAAGUUCUAUAGUGUACUAGACGGCUAUUACGUUUCAGCAUACCUAACCUAAUGUUUGACCUUUUUCACCUUGACGUCUUACCUGCGUGUCGUGCUUGUGCGAAUGCAAUAUGUACACACAUGAUUUAACGCAGCGCGUCUCCUCGUUGCCUUAGCGGAAAAAGAAAUAAAAAUAGCAUGCAAAAUAUUCCUGUUUUAGAUAUCCUAGACUGUGCUAUCGACGCAUCGAUAUAGACGCACAGAUUGAACACUGAUCCGGCUCGCUAAUACCUGUUUCCUAUCGAGCCGCGCUGUAAUAUACGCGCCCUUUAAAACUCAAACUUACCAUAUAAACAAGCAAAAUCUGAAUGCGAGCAUUAGCUCACACAGCGCGAUUUUUACACAAAAAAAUUCGAAUUAUUCUCAGUUCAUCUCGAUACCUUAGCUUAAAGGCAUAUUCUAUGAGAAACCAUCUUGUAAGCCAUGGUCACCUCCUAUCAUUACUAUAAUCACUUCCUGGCAGCUUGUCCAUGCCAUGCGCGGGUGUAACUCCAACGAACAGCAGGCACCGCUAUUCCCGCCAUUGUGGAAACACUACCAGUAUACUGUGC